UGAGUCCGAAAGCGUGCCGCUGGUGUAGCGUGCUACACGAGAGGAAAGUCUGGGCCACAAAGAGCACUACACUUCCUAACGGGAAGCUAUCGUGAGGUAGAUGAGCAUAACAGAAAAUAACCGCCACGUGGCUUUGCACUGAGUGCAAACUUCACAGGUAAGGGUGAAAAGGUGGGGUAAGAGCCCACCGAGCUGAUAGUGAUAUCGAGCUGCAGUAUGCAUUGUGGGUGGAAAGGUCGCGUAUACCAGCGCUUGUAGGGUGGCUCGCCCGAUGCUGGGGGGUAGACCGAUAGAGCCUAGGGGUGACUCUAGGUCUAGAUAGAUGGCAAGCAGCCUAAUCCCUAGGGAGAAGGCAGACAGAACCCGGCUUAUUGAGGACUCAUACG
Non-coding RNA from Porphyromonas sp. CAG:1061, 386 nucleotides. The record is from Rfam. NCBI's taxonomy places the organism in Bacteria, Pseudomonadati, Bacteroidota, Bacteroidia, Bacteroidales, Porphyromonadaceae.